Molecule: ribosomal RNA, 1246 nt
Filed under: uncultured bacterium
Lineage: Bacteria
Description: bacterial SSU rRNA
Rfam family: Bacterial small subunit ribosomal RNA
Source: RNAcentral
GAAACGACUGCUAAGACUGGAUAGGAAGAUAAAAGGCAUCUUUUAUCUUUUAAAAGACCUAGUAAUAGGUAUGCUUUAGGAGGGGCUUGCGCCAUAUUAGUUAGUUGGUAGGGUAAUGGCCUACCAAGACGAUGAUGUGUAGCUGGACUGAGAGGUUGAACAGCCACAUUGGGACUGAGACACGGCCCAAACUCCUACGGGAGGCAGCAGUAGGGAAUUUUCGGCAAUGGAGGAAACUCUGACCGAGCAACGCCGCGUGAAUGACGAAGUACUUCGGUAUGUAAAGUUCUUUUAUCAAGGAAGAAAAGCAAAUGGCGAACCAUUUGUUUGCCGGUACUUGAUGAAUAAGCCCCGGCUAAUUAUGUGCCAGCAGCCGCGGUAAGACAUAAGGGGCAAGUGUUAUCCGGAAUUAUUGGGCGUAAAGGGUGCGUAGGCGGUCUAGUAAGUCAGUGGUGUAAUGGCAACGCUUAACGUUGUCCGGCUAUUGAAACUGCUAAACUUGAGUUAGAUAGAGGCGAGUGGAAUUCCAUGUGUAGCGGUAAAAUGCGUAAAUAUAUGGAGGAACACCAGAGGCGUAGGCGGCUCGCUGGGUCUUAACUGACGCUGAGGCACGAAAGCGUGGGAGCAAACAGGAUUAGAUACCCUGGUAGUCCACGCCGUAAACGAUGAGUACUAAGUGUCGGGUUAAACCGGUACUGAAGUUAACACAUUAAGUACUCCGCCUGAGUAGUACGUACGCAAGUAUGAAACUUAAAGGAAUUGACGGGACUCCGCACAAGCGGUGGAUCAUGUUGUUUAAUUCGAAGAUACCCGAAAAACCUUACCAGGUCUUGACAUGUUUUUGCAAAAUGAUAGUAAUAUCGUGGAGGUUACCAGAAACACAGGUGGUGCAUGGUUGUCGUCAGCUCGUGUCGUGAGAUGUUAGGUUAAGUCCUAAAACGAGCGAGACCCUUAUCGUUAGUUGCCAGCACGUUAUGGUGGGGACUUUAACGAGACUGCCAAUGAUAAAUUGGAGGAAGGUGAGGAUCACGUCAAAUCAGCAUGCCCCUUAUGACCUGGGCUACAAACGUGAUACAAUGGCUGUUACAAAGGGUAGCUGAAACGCAAGUUCUUGGCCAAUCCCCAAAAACAGUCCCAGUCCGGAUUGAAGUCUGCAACUCGACUUCAUGAAGUUGGAAUCGCUAGUAAUCGCGAAUCAGCAUGUCGCGGUGAAUACGUUCUCGGGGUUUGUACACACCGCCCGUCA